RNAcentral lists this ribosomal RNA (1569 nucleotides) under Triticum aestivum (bread wheat). RNAcentral's name for it is "partial small subunit ribosomal RNA". The record is from RNAcentral. Lineage: Eukaryota; Viridiplantae; Streptophyta; Magnoliopsida; Poales; Poaceae.
AUGGCGUCCGCCUACGACCGGGAGGACGGCCUCGCGCCGCCGCAGCCGCACGGCGGCGGCCCCGCCGACGCCUACGAUCCCAACUACGUCCCGGACUCGGUGAAGACCUUCGUGGUGCACCUGUACCGCCACAUCCGCGACAAGAACGUCUACGAGAUCCACCAGAUGUACGAGGGCGGCUUCCAGCGCCUCUCCGACCGCCUCUUCCGCGACACGCCCUGGCCGUCGGCCGAGGCCGUGGCGCCCUACUGCGACGGCGACCACGUCUUCCUCCUCCUCUACCGCGAGCUCUGGUACCGCCACGCCUACGCGCGCCUCUCCCCCCUCACCGCCAGCCACCGCUCCGAGUCCUGGAACAACUACUGCGACCUCUUCAGCGUCGUCCUCCACGGCGUCGUCAACAUGCAGCUGCCUAACCAGUGGCUGUGGGACAUGGUGGACGAGUUCGUCUACCAGUUCCAGAGCUUCUGCCAGUACCGCGCCAAGCUCAAGAACAAGACGGAAGACGAGCUCCAGCAGCUAAAGCAGUUUGACAAGGCAUGGAAUGUCUAUGGGGUUCUCAAUUACCUGCAAGCACUCGUUGAGAAGUCCAUGAUCGCACAGAUUCUGGAGAGGGAGAAAGAGGGGCUGGAGUCGUUUACCGCCACCGACGGGUAUGACUACCAGGGUGGGAGCAAUGUGCUCAAGGUCCUGGGUUACUACAGCAUGAUUGGGCUUCUCAGGAUACACUGCCUUCUUGGUGAUUACCACACUGGCCUCAAGUGCUUGGCACCGAUCAACCUUAACCAGCAGGGGGUCUACACCAUUGUGAUUGGGAGUCACAUCUCGACAAUCUAUCAUUAUGGAUUUGCAAACCUUAUGAUGCGCAGGUAUGUCGAUGCUACCAAGGAAUUCAACAAAAUUCUGCUUUACAUUAUAAAGUAUAAGCAGUACCAUCAGAAAUCCCCUCAGUAUGACCAGAUUCUGAAGAAAAAUGAGCAGAUGUAUGCGCUGCUGGCAAUUUGCCUAUCUCUGUGUCCGCAGAACAAACUCAUAGAUGAAAAUGUUAGCGCCCAGCUGAAAGAAAAGUACAAUGACAAAAUGACAAAGAUGCAGAGGUUUGAUGAUGAAGCAUAUGCUGCCUACGAUGAGCUAUUUUCGUAUGCCUGCCCCAAGUUUAUUACGCCAUCACCUCCAGUUCUGGACCAGCCACUUACAAAUUAUAACCAGGACGCCUAUCGGCUUCAAUUGAAGCUGUUCCUGUAUGAAGUGAAGCAGCAACAGCUGCUUUCUGGGAUCCGGAGCUAUCUAAAGUUAUACUCAGCAAUAACUAUCACCAAACUUGCCCAGUAUAUGGAAAUGGAUGAGGCAACACUUAGGUCUAUCCUUAUGACGUACAAGCACAAAAUGCAUGCAGUUGACAGUAAUGGGAAAAUUGUAUCCAGUGCAGACUUUGAUUUCUACAUUAAUGAGGAUGUUAUUCAUGUCGUGGAGUCCAAGUCGACCAAGCGCCAUGGUGACUACUUUUUGAGACAGAUUUUAAAGUUUGAAGAAACCAUUGCUGAAUUGGACAAGGUACAGCUUGACUGA